This 113-nucleotide ribosomal RNA is filed under the name Vibrio mediterranei. Its description in RNAcentral is "partial 23S ribosomal RNA". The stretch from base 1 to 93 matches the Rfam family "Bacterial large subunit ribosomal RNA", at positions 2833 to 2925 of the family's 2925-position model. The record is from RNAcentral. Lineage: Bacteria; Pseudomonadati; Pseudomonadota; Gammaproteobacteria; Vibrionales; Vibrionaceae.
GGUUGUUCGAGACUAGAACGUUGAUAGGCAGGGUGUGUAAGCGUUGUGAGGCGUUGAGCUAACCUGUACUAAUUGCCCGUGAGGCUUAACCAUACAACACCCAAAGGGUUUUG